RNAcentral lists this ribosomal RNA (485 nucleotides) under uncultured bacterium. RNAcentral's name for it is "partial 16S ribosomal RNA". It matches the Rfam family "Bacterial small subunit ribosomal RNA", at positions 355 to 832 of the family's 1533-position model. The record is from RNAcentral.
UAGGGAAUCUUCCACAAUGGACGAAAGUCUGAUGGAGCAACGCCGCGUGAGUGAAGAAGGUUUUCGGAUCGUAAAGCUCUGUUGUUGGUGAAGAAGGAUAGAGGCAGUAACUGGUCUUUAUUUGACGGUAAUCAACCAGAAAGUCACGGCUAACUACGUGCCAGCAGCCGCGGUAAUACGUAGGUGGCAAGCGUUGUCCGGAUUUAUUGGGCGUAAAGCGAGCGCAGGCGGAAUGAUAAGUCUGAUGUGAAAGCCCACGGCUCAACCGUGGAACUGCAUCGGAAACUGUCAUUCUUGAGUGCAGAAGAGGAGAGUGGAACUCCAUGUGUAGCGGUGGAAUGCGUAGAUAUAUGGAAGAACACCAGUGGCGAAGGCGGCUCUCUGGUCUGCAACUGACGCUGAGGCUCGAAAGCAUGGGUAGCGAACAGGAUUAGAUACCCUGGUAGUCCAUGCCGUAAACGAUGAGCGCUAGGUGUUGGGGCACU